Molecule: ribosomal RNA, 713 nt
Filed under: uncultured bacterium
Lineage: Bacteria
Description: bacterial SSU rRNA
Rfam family: Bacterial small subunit ribosomal RNA
Source: RNAcentral
AUACCCUGGGUAGUCCACGCAGUAAACGAUGAAUACUAACUGUCCGGGACGAUUGAGUCCUGGGUGGUACAGCGCAAUGCGUUAACUAUUCCGGCUGGGGAGUACGCCGGCGACAGUGAAACUCGAAGGAAUUGACGGGGGCCCGCACAAACGAACGAGCGUGUGGUUUAAUUCAAUGAUACGCAAGGAUCCUUACCCGGGCUCAGACGACGGACGGAUGUUUUUGAAAGGAGGCAUCCCUACUGGGCGUCCAUCUAGGUGCUGCAUGGUUGUCGUCCGCUCGUGCCGGGAGGUGUCUGCUUGACUGCCAUAACGAGCGCACCCCCCAUCGCCGGUUACCAUCAAGGGAGGUUGGGGACUCUGGACAGACUGCCGGCGCUGGCUGCAAGGAAGGCAGGAAUGACGUCCAAUCAGGACGGUCCUUACGUCCGGAGCGACACGCUUGUUACAAUGGCACGCACAGAAAGAAGGUACAUGCCGACAUGAAACGUACCUGGUAAGACCUGUCUCAGAUCGGAUUGUAGUCUGCGACCCCACUCCAUGAGACUGGAUUCUCUACUAAUCUCGCAUCAGCCACGGCGCGGUGAAUACCUUCCCGGGCCUUGUACACACCGCCCGUCAAGCCAUGCAAGCCCGGAGUGCCUGAAUUGUGCCACCGCACGGAGCGCCCUAAGGUAAAACCCGUGACUGGAGCUAAAUCGUAGCAACGUAGC